GGGGCCGGGCCUAACACUGGCAAUUCAAAGGGAUGGGGAGCUUACUUUAGUGCUAAGGUCUAAAUUAUAAGUUCUAAUUUGGGGACCCACUCUGCGACGAUAUAUAUCAUCCCGGAAGGAUUCCAACAAUUGAAAUUUAAAACUCAAACUUUAGAAUUCAAGCACGAAUUGCGACAGUGGCAGACGGCUGAGUAAUACCUUGGUACCUACCCCAAAGUGGGGGAUCGCUCAUACAAAGAUGGGGUAAUCCCGCAAGUGCUCUAACCAGUAAAGCUUUCGGGCGCUUUGGGAGGGGCCUUUGACCUAUCAGUUUGUUGGUGAGGUAAUGGCUCACCAAGACUAUGACGCGUACCUGGAUCGAGAGGUUGACCAGCCCCACUGGGACUGAGACACCACCCAUACUCCUACAGGAGGCAGCAGUGAGGAAUUUUCGCCAGUGGGCGAAAGCCUGAUGGAGCGACACCCCGUGAACGAUGAAGCUUUUCUGAGUGUAAACUUCUUUUAUGUGGGAAUAUUAUGACUUUACCACAUGAGUAAGGACCGUGUAACUACGUGCCAGCAACC
This 564-nucleotide ribosomal RNA is filed under the name uncultured bacterium. RNAcentral's name for it is "bacterial SSU rRNA". It matches the Rfam family "Bacterial small subunit ribosomal RNA", at positions 38 to 516 of the family's 1533-position model. The record is from RNAcentral.